Molecule: non-coding RNA, 364 nt
Rfam family: Bacterial RNase P class A
About the family: Ribonuclease P (RNase P) is a ubiquitous endoribonuclease, found in archaea, bacteria and eukarya as well as chloroplasts and mitochondria. Its best characterised activity is the generation of mature 5'-ends of tRNAs by cleaving the 5'-leader elements of precursor-tRNAs.
Source: Rfam
GCGGAGGGCCGGAUGGCCGCGGGGUGGCAACACCGCGAGGAAAGUCCGGACUCCCUGAAGCAACGGUGCCGGGUAACACCCGGGCGGAGCGAUCCGACGGAAAGCGCCACAGAAAUGAGACUACCCCGGUCCGCCGGGGAAAAGGUGAAACGGUGGGGUAAGAGCCCACCGCGCCGCUGGCAACAGGGGCGGCACGGCAAGCCCCACCGGGAGCAAUGCCGAAUAGGGAUCGCAUCACGGGGCGCUUCACCCCCGCGAUCCGGGUUGGCAGCCCGAGCGUAUCGGCAACGGUGCGCCUAGAGGAAUGGUCAUCCAGAGGGGGCGACCCCUUGGACAGAAUCCGGCUUACAGGCCCUCCGCGCAG